UCCGUAGGUGAACCUGAACCUGAACCUCGGAGGGAUCAUUACCGAGUUUACAACUCCCAAACCCCUGUGAACAUACCUAUACGUUGCCUCGGCGGAUCAGCCCGCGCCCCGUAAAACGGGACGGCCCGCCCGAGGACCCCUAAACUCUGUUUUUAGUGGAACUUCUGAGUAAAACAAACAAAUAAAUCAAAACUUUCAACAACGGAUCUCUUGGUUCUGGCAUCGAUGAAGAACGCAGCAAAAUGCGAUAAGUAAUGUGAAUUGCAGAAUUCAGUGAAUCAUCGAAUCUUUGAACGCACAUUGCGCCCGCCAGUAUUCUGGCGGGCAUGCCUGUUCGAGCGUCAUUUCAACCCUCAAGCUCAGCUUGGUGUUGGGACUCGCGGUAACCCGCGUUCCCCAAAUCGAUUGGCGGUCACGUCGAGCUUCCAUAGCGUAGUAAUCAUACACCUCGUUACUGGUAAUCGUCGCGGCCACGCCGUUAAACCCCAACUUCUGAAUGUU
Molecule: ribosomal RNA, 501 nt
Filed under: Fusarium sp. 2183
Lineage: Eukaryota; Fungi; Ascomycota; Sordariomycetes; Hypocreales; Nectriaceae
Description: eukaryotic LSU rRNA
Rfam family: 5.8S ribosomal RNA (bases 191-344)
Source: RNAcentral